AGAGUUUGAUCCUGGCUCAGAGCGAACGCUGGCGGCAGGCCUAACACAUGCAAGUCGAACGGAUCCUUCGGGGUUAGUGGCGGACGGGUGAGUAACACGUGGGAACGUGCCUUUAGGUUCGGAAUAAGCUCGGGAAACUGGGUCUAAUACCGAAUGUGCCCCCUGAUUAAUUUUGGGGUGGGAAAGAUUUAUCGCCUUUAGAGCGGCCCGCGUCUGAUUAGCUAGUUGGUGGUGUAAUGGACCACCAAGGCGACGAUCAGUAGCUGGUCUGAGAGGAUGACCAGCCACAUUGGGACUGAGACACGGCCCAAACUCCUACGGGAGGCAGCAGUGGGGAAUCUUGCGCAAUGGGCGAAAGCCUGACGCAGCCAUGCCGCGUGUAUGAUGAAGGUCUUAGGAUUGUAAAAUACUUUCACCGGUGAAGAUAAUGACUGUAGCCGGAGAAGAAGCCCCGGCUAACUUCGUGCCAGCCGCCGCGGUAAUUC
RNAcentral lists this ribosomal RNA (485 nucleotides) under uncultured bacterium. RNAcentral describes it as "bacterial SSU rRNA". It matches the Rfam family "Bacterial small subunit ribosomal RNA", at positions 8 to 526 of the family's 1533-position model. The record is from RNAcentral.